This 189-nucleotide ribosomal RNA is filed under the name uncultured bacterium. RNAcentral describes it as "partial 16S ribosomal RNA". It matches the Rfam family "Bacterial small subunit ribosomal RNA", at positions 338 to 524 of the family's 1533-position model. The record is from RNAcentral.
CCUACGGGAGGCAGCAGUGAGGAAUAUUGGUCAAUGGGCGCGAGCCUGAACCAGCCAAGUAGCGUGCAGGAUGACGGCCCUAUGGGUUGUAAACUGCUUUUAUCAGGGGAUAAAGUGCGGCACGCGUGCCGUUUUGUAGGUACCUGAUGAAUAAGGACCGGCUAAUUCCGUGCCAGCAGCCGCGGUAAU